This 510-nucleotide ribosomal RNA is filed under the name uncultured bacterium. RNAcentral describes it as "partial 16S ribosomal RNA". It matches the Rfam family "Bacterial small subunit ribosomal RNA", at positions 28 to 507 of the family's 1533-position model. The record is from RNAcentral.
GACGAACGCUGGCGGCGUGCUUAACACAUGCAAGUCGAACGGAAAGCGAUGGAAGCUUGCUGCUAUCAAUCUUAGUGGCGAACGGGUGAGUAACGCGUAAUCAACCUGCCCUUCAGAGGGGGACACCAGUAGGAAAGGACUACUAAUACCGCAUACGAUCUAAGCUCGGCAUCGGGGGUAGAUUAACGGUGGCCGCGACAUGUCAGCUAUCACAGAAGGAGGGGAGUGCGGCUGAUGAGCAUGAAGGCGUGGAAAGGGACCACCAAGGCGAUGGUCAGUAGUCCGUCUGCGAUGAUGGACGGCCGCCUUGGGACUGUGACCCGGCCCAGUCGCCUUCGGGUGGCAGCAGUGGUGCAUCUUCCGCCAUGGACGAAAGUUUGUCGAAGCUACGCCGCGUGCGUGAUGACGGCCUUCGGGUUGUAAAUCUCGGUUAAUCGGUACGAAAGGCCUUCCUGCGAAUAGGGAGAAGGAUUGACGGUACCGGAAUAGAAAGCCCCGGCUAACUACGUG